Molecule: long non-coding RNA, 106 nt
Organism: Priapulus caudatus
Lineage: Eukaryota; Metazoa; Priapulida; Priapulimorpha; Priapulimorphida; Priapulidae
Exons: 3
Source: RefSeq, a predicted model, not a curated record
AUUAUCUGCAGCAGCUAUAGAAGCCCGGUAUCUCCUGCCGCGAUCCGUCAGUGACGUCAUCAAGCUCACGAAAUGUGUUGGCUCAGCGUCGUGGGUGUCUAGGUAA